This 376-nucleotide unclassified non-coding RNA is filed under the name uncultured bacterium. Its description in RNAcentral is "contains 16S-23S intergenic spacer region". The record is from RNAcentral.
UCCGAGUUGACCCCGGCAGUCUCCCACGAGUCCCCGGCAUUACCCGCUGGCAACUAAGGACGAGGGUUGCGCUCGUUGCGGGACUUAACCCAACAUCUCACGACACGAGCUGACGACAGCCAUGCACCACCUGUGCACGGCCCUUACGGACCCGACAUCUCUGCCGGAUUUCCGUGCAUGUCAAGCCCAGGUAAGGUUCUUCGCGUUGCAUCGAAUUAAUCCACAUGCUCCACCGCUUGUGCGGGCCCCCGUCAAUUCCUUUGAGUUUCAGCCUUGCGGCCGUACUCCCCAGGCGGGACACUUAAUGCGUUAGCUGCGACACCGAAGGGGUCGUUCCCACCGGCAUCUAGUGCCCAUCGUUUACGGCGUGGACUAC